Molecule: long non-coding RNA, 218 nt
Organism: Triticum aestivum (bread wheat)
Lineage: Eukaryota; Viridiplantae; Streptophyta; Magnoliopsida; Poales; Poaceae
Exons: 3
Source: RefSeq, a predicted model, not a curated record
AAACAUGAAAUGUUUGUAAUUCUAGACUCAGCAUAUGAUGCAGAGAGUGAUUUUCACCAGCAUGUGUUGAAUAUUCUGAUACCAAAUUUCAAAAGGGUUUGGGACAUGUAUGAGAGCUCAAGAAAUCUUAACUGGAGAAAUUGGACCACGCACUUUAUUGAUGUACCUAAACAAAGCAAUGAGCUUGAUUGUGGCAUAUAUACGACACUCUUUCUGAA